GACGAACGCUGGCGGCGUGCUUAACGCAUGCAAGUCGAACGAGGAAAUUGACUUCGGUUGAUUUUCGAGUGGCGGACGGGUGAGUAACGCGUGAGCAAUCUGUCCUACAGAGGGGGAUAACAGCUGGAAACAGUUGCUAAUACCGCAUAAGACCACGGGGCCGCAUGGCCAUGAGGUAAAAGGAGUAAUCCGCUGUAGGGUGAGCUCGCGUCCGAUUAGAUAGUUGGUGAGGUAACGGCCCACCAAGUCUGCGAUCGGUAGCCGACCUGAGAGGGUGACCGGCCACAUUGGGACUGAGACACGGCCCAGACUCCUACGGGAGGCAGCAGUGGGGAAUAUUGGGCAAUGGGGGAAACCCUGACCCAGCAACGCCGCGUGAGGGAAGAAGGUUUUCGGAUUGUAAACCUCUGUCCUUGGUGACGAACACAAUGACGGUAGCCAAGGAGGAAGCCCCGGCUAACUACGUG
This 467-nucleotide ribosomal RNA is filed under the name uncultured bacterium. RNAcentral describes it as "bacterial SSU rRNA". It matches the Rfam family "Bacterial small subunit ribosomal RNA", at positions 28 to 507 of the family's 1533-position model. The record is from RNAcentral.